UUUUGUCUUGAAGUCCACGGCGAUGUGCAAGGCGAUGUGGAUUUAUUUAAAUAGGAAAUUUGCAUGCCAAAAACUGCAAAAAUCGAAUUAUAAUACAUAAAUAACAGCUCCCACAAGGGAAAAAACGGUUCGCCUUUACACUUGCGGAUUCAACUGAAACGCGAAAAAGGCUUGCAAAGAAACAUGCAGCUCCACCGAAACAUGUUAUUAGUCGCUGAUGCAAGAAC
Armigeres subalbatus is the source of this 227-nucleotide long non-coding RNA. RefSeq lists it as uncharacterized. The record is from RefSeq and is a predicted model, not a curated record. NCBI's taxonomy places the organism in Eukaryota, Metazoa, Arthropoda, Insecta, Diptera, Culicidae. The transcript has 3 exons.